This 76-nucleotide transfer RNA is filed under the name marine sediment metagenome. RNAcentral's name for it is "tRNA-Leu". It matches the Rfam family "tRNA". From Rfam's summary of the family: Transfer RNA (tRNA) molecules are approximately 80 nucleotides in length. Their secondary structure includes four short double-helical elements and three loops (D, anti-codon, and T loops). Further hydrogen bonds mediate the characteristic L-shaped molecular structure. tRNAs have two regions of fundamental functional importance: the anti-codon, which is responsible for specific mRNA codon recognition, and the 3' end, to which the tRNAs corresponding amino acid is attached (by aminoacyl-tRNA synthetases). tRNAs cope with the degeneracy of the genetic code in two manners: having more than one tRNA (with a specific anti-codon) for a particular amino acid; and 'wobble' base-pairing, i.e. permitting non-standard base-pairing at the 3rd anti-codon position. The record is from RNAcentral.
GCCUGGGUAGCCCAAUGGCAGAGGCACUGGUUUUAGGAACCAGACAGCGUGGGUUCGACCCCCACCCCAGGUACCA